GGUGGGGAUGACGUCAAGUCAUCAUGGCCCUUACGACCAGGGCUACACACGUGCUACAAUGGCGCAUACAAAGAGAAGCGACCUCGCGAGAGCAAGCGGACCUCAUAAAGUGCGUCGUAGUCCGGAUUGGAGUCUGCAACUCGACUCCAUGAAGUCGGAAUCGCUAGUAAUCGUGGAUCAGAAUGCCACGGUGAAUACGUUCCCGGGCCUUGUACACACCGCCCGUCACACCAUGGGAGUGGGUUGCAAAAGAAGUAGGUAGCUUAACCUUCGGGAGGGCGCUUACCACUUUGUGAUUCAUGACUGGGGUGAAGUCGUAACAAGGUAACCGUAGGGGAACCUGCGGUUGGAUCACCUCCUUACCUUAAAGAAGC
This 374-nucleotide ribosomal RNA is filed under the name Shigella flexneri. RNAcentral describes it as "bacterial SSU rRNA". It matches the Rfam family "Bacterial small subunit ribosomal RNA", at positions 1172 to 1533 of the family's 1533-position model. Lineage: Bacteria; Pseudomonadati; Pseudomonadota; Gammaproteobacteria; Enterobacterales; Enterobacteriaceae. The record is from RNAcentral.